This 253-nucleotide ribosomal RNA is filed under the name uncultured bacterium. RNAcentral's name for it is "partial 16S ribosomal RNA". It matches the Rfam family "Bacterial small subunit ribosomal RNA", at positions 524 to 776 of the family's 1533-position model. The record is from RNAcentral.
UACGUAGGGGGCAAGCGUUGUCCGGAAUCAUUGGGCGUAAAGAGCGUGUAGGCGGCCAAACAGGUCCGUUGUGAAAACUGGAGGCUCAACCUCCAGACGUCGACGGAAACCGUGUGGCUAGAGUCCGGAAGAGGAGAGUGGAAUUCCUGGUGUAGCGGUGAAAUGCGCAGAUAUCAGGAAGAACACCAAUGGCGAAGGCAGCUCUCUGGGACGGUACUGACGCUGAGACGCGAAAGCGUGGGGAGCGAACAGG